This is a non-coding RNA of Notechis scutatus (mainland tiger snake), 2612 nucleotides long. NCBI's taxonomy places the organism in Eukaryota, Metazoa, Chordata, Lepidosauria, Squamata, Elapidae. The record is from RefSeq and is a predicted model, not a curated record.
UUUCUUGCAGACAAGUCUUCCUUGCUCCAGAAUAUUUUGAGAGGUGGACCCUUUGCUGCUUCUUCUUCAUCCAUUUCUGCAAAGCCCAAAACACUCUGCAACCUGCCCAAUCUUAAGCACUUUUAAAACCAUGCAUUGUGGCAGAUGCUAAGCUGGUAUGGGAUUGCCCCCAUUUUAACUGAUUGAAAGAAAGAUCCAGUAAGCAACUUUAAGGUGGGGUGGAUUUCAAUUCCCAGAAUUCCCCAGUCAGCUUCCACGUCAAGCAUACUGGCUGGGGAAUUCUGGGAGCUGAAGUCCAGCCGUUGUAAUUUUGGGGAAUUUAGUGAGUGGAAGUCCACUCGUCUUAAAGUUGCCCACUUUGAGAAACACUGGAUUAAAGCUUAGCCUGGUUGUGUCGUGGUUUGGGCUGUUUGAGGCUAUCAACACUUCCAAGAUCACGUUCACAGCAUUGUAAUUAAAGCCAGGAUGCCAUUUUACAGAUUUUUUUUUCACACUCCUCCCCCCCUCAAAAACCUGGUCUUUUUCAGCUGGAGUCUUUUAACUUUGUGGUGCUCCAGUUCCAAUCAUUUUUCUGGCUGGGAACUAUUGGAGUUUGAAUCUAAAAUAGCUAGAAGACUUCCCCUCGGGGGGGAAAAAAAGCUACUUUUGGCCACUGGCUGUCUUCCUAUUUUUUAUAUAUCUUUUCACCACUCCUUCCUUCCUGCUUUUUCAGGCUCCGCGUAAUUUUUCAGAUGAAGGUUUACAUAGGAAACAAGUUUUUUUUUGCUGAUUUGCUCUGUGUGUGUUUUUGUAAAAAAUUUUGUUGAUGUUGUUUCGGGGUUGUUCCUUUCCCUCGUGCUAUCUGUACACUUUCCUCUGAGAAAGAAAGUCUUUUUCUCCCCUAAAUUCAUUUAGAGCUGGUCUCUUGUUGAACACUCGCGUUUUGCAGUUGCACUGAAGGAAGACUCAAACGAUAGGGGUUUUUUUUUUUGGCACAGAGGUAUUAUCUAAUCCUUUUCAUCCUGGCCUCCUUGCCUUUACAGAAGCUUGGUGGGCUUCUUAUGAGUAAACAGGCAAAGGAUUGUAAAACUGCACCUAAGUCCAGAACUGUGGAAUGCACCUGUAGUUGCGUAGCUGCAUUUAAUUCUGAUUUAAUUUAAUUAAAUCAAUAUUUAAUACCAAAUGUAAGCAAAGAGUUGAUAGCAGAUUGGCUGGCUACAGCUCCAGAAAUCCUCAAUUCCAAUCUUUAUAUAUAUAUAUAUAUAUAUUGAUUGCAAACAUUUUGCCUUGUUGUAUUCUUAGAUCUGUUUUGUUGCCUGAAUGUCGGUAAGAAUGACAACAGAAGCCUAUGUAGGUUCAGAAUUUUAGACCCUUUGAAGAUGCAAUUAUUUUGAUUCUACUAAAUAUAAUUUAUAAAUAUAUAUAUAAUAAGCAAUCCUCUGUGGAGUUUACUCAGGAGGAAAUCCUACCCUAUUGAAUGGGAUUUGUUCCCAGCAAAGCACAAAAUGUUGGCUCACGACUUUGGGCCCCAACCUGAAUUAAUAUUUAAGUAAGUAAUUUAAGUAAUAUUUAAUUUUACUUACUGUAAGUAAGUCUUUUAAUUUUAUGGACCAAUUGGGAGGAACCAGUGUCCGUUAAAGCCAAAUGUUAAUUAAAUCCAACUUUAUGUAACACCCGUGAAUGUUACGUGAUGUUCAUAAUAUUUAUGUCAUACACCCAUGUACUUUACAAAAAAAUAUGUAUCCACAUGGUCUGAUUUACCACGCUGUUUGCUGAAGCCACCCAAAUUCAGAUAUUGUCUGUUAAAUCCAAAGUCUGUUGAAUCAAGGUCUGUAAAAUCGAGAUGGGGUCGUAGCAACAUCCAGACUCAAAUUUUUGCAGUUGGUAGGAAUGACUUGUGUACUAAUUUAAAAGGGGUUUAAAGAUGUUGGAAGCAAUGAGGGAUCCUUGUAUUUCUCUUAUAAGUUGGACAUGGUGUUGAUUCACCAUCUCCCAUCGCUGCAACUUCUCAGUCUCUGGGCCAGGGAAAUUUGCCCGUAGCAUUUUCACCCCAAGAGUUGAAUUUCACUCUCCUGCAAAAUGCCGUAUGGCUUUUUCUUCCUAAGUCCCAAAGGCAGAGACGGAGAGGCGAAUGCUUCCCUCGCAAACAAAAAUAAAAGUAAAAACAAAAACCAACAACAACAAGGCCCAUAGUGGGUAGUGUUUGUAAAUAUUUUAUUGCAACAGUGUUAUUUACUGUGCCUUUUGUGUGUGUGUGAAAAAUGUCAAGUCCGGUGUGAUUUUUGUUGAGGGUGGGUUUAAAAGUGAACAGCAAAAAAAAAACAAAAAACGAUUUUUUUUCCUGAUAUCUGGAAACAAAAAGAAAAAUGGAAAAAGUUUUGUGUUGUUUGUUACUUAUCUGUAAUUUAUAAAUCCCAGUAUCUGGGAUGUUGCUUUCUGUAAAGUAGUGUACAUAUAUAUAUAUAUAAUGUGACUCUCGCUAUAAAUAUAUAUAUAUAUAUAUUAAAGAGGAAAAAUGUGUGGGAGGGAAAUAAUGAUUAAUAUUCUCAGGGAAUUAAACCUGAUCUGCCACAGACUGCCUGUGGCCCGUGUCUUCUCUGUGCUUUCAAUAAAAGAAUUUGUUGGCUAAUUAA